RNAcentral lists this long non-coding RNA (1714 nucleotides) under Gossypium barbadense (sea-island cotton). Its description in RNAcentral is "long non-coding RNA (GBAR_LNC008689)". The record is from RNAcentral. Lineage: Eukaryota; Viridiplantae; Streptophyta; Magnoliopsida; Malvales; Malvaceae.
ACCGAUAGGUAUGAAAACAGUUCAAAUACCUAUUUUCCCUACUGAACCUAGCAGAAAUUCUAGAAAUACUAGAAUGGAAGAAAUACAAACUACUACUAUUAUUCAACAAAUGAAAAUAGGAAAAAAUGAUAUUAUUACAUUUUCAAAUUUCCAACCUAGGAAAUAUUAUACAUAUAUAGAAAUUACACUUCAAUUUAGAGACUAUAAAACAUAUUCUUUGCAUGCUUUAUUAGAUACUGGAGCUACCACAAGUAGUUGUAGAGAAAAUGCCAUUCCUGUAGAAAAAUGGGAAUUAAUGAAAAAUCCAAUUAGAGCUAUAGGAAUUGAUGGUAAAGAAACCAUAAUUCAAUUUAAGGCUAGAAAUAUACCAAUUUACAUAAAUAAUGUAAGAUUUGUAAUUCCUAAAAUAUUGUGUUUUCCUGAAAUGCAUGGAGACAUAUUAUUAGGAAAUAAUUUUAUAUAUCAUCAUCUACCGUUUUCUAUAGAUAGAAAUUUAGUAAUAUUAUCAACAGAAAAAACUUCUGUAGAAAUACCUUUAAUAGAAAACCAUAAAUUUGUAUGUGAUAAAGGAUUUAGACCAAUAAGAAAAGAACAAAUUAAACAACUAGAAACAAAUCAUUGGUUGUUUAAAAUUCUAGAAAAUAAUUUUAGUGAAGAACCAUUAAAAUUAUGGGAAAAUAGUCCAAGAUAUUGUGAAAUAAAAUUAAAGAAUCCUAAUAAAAUAAUUAGAAUCAAACCUAUGAUCUAUACUAAACAAGAUAUAGAUGAAUUUGAUAUACAAAUCAAAGAAUUAUUGGAAAAAGGAUUAAUAGAAAAAACUAAUAGUCCACACUCAAGUCCAGCUUUUAUGGUAAGAAACCAUGCUGAAAUAAAAAGAGGAAAAGCUAGAAUGGUAAUUAAUUAUAAAAGACUAAACCAAAAUACUAUUUUUGAUGGAUACUUUAUUCCACGGAAAGAUGUUUUAAUAAAUCAAGCUAAACAAGCAAAAUAUUUCAGUAAAUUUGAUUGUAAAUCAGGAUUUUGGCAAAUAAUGCUAACUGAUGAAUCUAAACCAUUAACAGCCUUUAGUGCACCUAAUGGUCAUUAUCAAUGGAGAGUAAUGCCAUUUGGAUUAUGUAAUGCACCUCAAAUCUUCCAAAGAUGGAUGGAUUCUAUAUUUAAUAAAUAUAAAAAAUUUUGUGUAGUUUAUAUAGACGAUAUAUUAAUAUUUUUAACACUGGAAAACAUAGAAAACAUUUAAAUAUCAUCUCCCAAGAAUUCAUAAAACAUGGAAUUAUUUUGAGCCCUAAGAAAAUAGAAUUAGAAAAAACAGAAAUAGAAUUUUUAGGUUUAAAUUUAUCGGCUGAUGGUCUUAAACUACAAGAUCAUAUUAUAGUAAAAAUAAAAGAAUUUCCAGAAGAAAUUAAAAACCAAAAACAACUUCAACAAUUUUUAGGUAUAAUUAAUUAUGGAAGAAACUUCUUUCCAACUUAUCUAAAAAAAUAGGAGACUUAUAUGAAAAAUUAAAAAAAGGAUAAAACUUUUAGCUGGUCUAAAGAAGACUCAGAAAUUAUUAAAAAUAUAAAAUCAGAAAUAAAUUAUACCCCAAAAGUCUAUUUACUUGCGGAAGAUCGAUAUUUUAUUAAAAGUAAAUGAAAGAUUUUUUUACAAGGAAAGGUUGUUUACAGAGAGGAUACUUAAAGUAAAAAGAAAGAUUUCUAAACUAUUUUUCGAU